This 21-nucleotide microRNA is filed under the name Gallus gallus (chicken). Its description in RNAcentral is "gga-miR-7452-5p". Lineage: Eukaryota; Metazoa; Chordata; Aves; Galliformes; Phasianidae. The record is from miRBase by way of RNAcentral.
ACAGGGCUGGCUGAUCCGUGC